GACUAACACAUGCAAGUCGAACGAGGGCUUCGGCCCUAGUGGCGCACGGGUGAGUAACGCGUGGGAACCUGCCCUGUGGUACGGAAUAACUCCGGGAAACUGGAGCUAAUACCGUAUGCGUCCUGCGGGACAAAGAUUCAUCGCCAUGGGAUGGGCCCGCGUAGGAUUAGCUUGUUGGCGGGGUAACGGCCCACCAAGGCGACGAUCCUUAGCUGGUCUGAGAGGAUGAUCACCCACCCUGGGACUGACUCUUUGUACCAUCCUUUGUAGCACGUGUGUAGCCCAGGUCAUAAGGGGCAUGAUGAUUUGACGU
RNAcentral lists this ribosomal RNA (313 nucleotides) under uncultured bacterium. RNAcentral describes it as "bacterial SSU rRNA". It matches the Rfam family "Bacterial small subunit ribosomal RNA", at positions 46 to 368 of the family's 1533-position model. The record is from RNAcentral.